ACAGAGGUCCCAAGCGUUGUUCGGAUUCACUGGGCGUAAAGGGUGCGUAGGCGGUUUGAUAAGUCUGAUGUGAAAUCCCGCAGCUUAACUGCGGAACUGCAUUGGAAACUGUUUGACUAGAGGAAUGGAGGGGAGACUGGAAUACUUGGUGUAGCAGUGAAAUGCGUAGAUAUCAAGUGGAACACCAGUGGCGAAGGCGAGCCUCUGGACAUUUCCUGACGCUGAGGCACGAAAGCCAGGGGAGCAAACGGGA
Molecule: ribosomal RNA, 253 nt
Filed under: uncultured prokaryote
Description: partial 16S ribosomal RNA
Rfam family: Bacterial small subunit ribosomal RNA
Source: RNAcentral